Molecule: ribosomal RNA, 448 nt
Filed under: Salmonella enterica subsp. enterica
Lineage: Bacteria; Pseudomonadati; Pseudomonadota; Gammaproteobacteria; Enterobacterales; Enterobacteriaceae
Description: bacterial SSU rRNA
Rfam family: Bacterial small subunit ribosomal RNA
Source: RNAcentral
AUUCCUACGGGGGGCUGCAGUGGGGAAUAUUGCGCAAUGGGCGAAAGCCUGACGCAGCGACGCCGCGUGGGGGAUGAAGGCCUUCGGGUUGUAAACCUCUUUCAGCAGGGACGAAGCGAGAGUGACGGUACCUGCAGAAGAAGCGCCGGCUAACUACGUGCCAGCAGCCGCGGUAACACGUAGGGCGCAAGCGUUGUCCGGAAUUAUUGGGCGUAAAGAGCUCGUAGGCGGUCUGUUGCGUCCGCUGUGAAAACUCGGGGCUUAACCCCGGGCCUGCAGUGGAUACGGGCAGACUAGAGGUAGGUAGGGGAGAAUGGAAUUCCCGGUGUAGCGGUGAAAUGCGCAGAUAUCGGGAGGAACACCGGUGGCGAAGGCGGUUCUCUGGGCCUUACCUGACGCUGAGGAGCGAAAGCGUGGGGAGCGAACAGGAUUAGAUACCCUUGUAGUC